Eriocheir sinensis (Chinese mitten crab) is the source of this 5114-nucleotide RNA transcript. It is a transcript of the gene named tetraspanin-13-like, with no coding region annotated. The transcript has 7 exons. The record is from RefSeq and is a predicted model, not a curated record. NCBI's taxonomy places the organism in Eukaryota, Metazoa, Arthropoda, Malacostraca, Decapoda, Varunidae.
UUCAUCCCUCCCCCGCAAUCGAUAGUGUUAACUUAGCUCUCAGUGGGGUUACACGUUACGUUCUCGCCGCUCCUCAACCAAGCCGCCAAGAUGUGUGGGGGGUUCACGUGCUCCAAGAACAGCCUUUUGGCCCUCAACAUCCUCUAUAUCGUGGUGGCGUUCAUCAUGAUAGGGGUGGCGGCGGCGGCGAACAUGGACUCCAUCUUCACCUCGCUGUCCCUGGUGUCCACGAUCAUAGCGUGCGGCGUGUUCCUCCUCUUCAUAUCCAUAGUGGGGCUCAUCGGGGCCAGUAAACACCAUCAGGUGAUGCUGUUCUUCUACAUGAUCGUGCUCUUCAUCAUCUUCAUCAUCCAGUUCUCCGUAGCCUGCGCCUGCCUUGCCAUCAAUGAGGACCAGCAGAGUGUGGUGGCUGCCAAGGGCUGGAAGAAAGCUGGAGAUUCAAUACGGAUAGACGCGCAGAAUCUGUUCAGCUGCUGCGGCUACAGCAACGAGAACUUCAACCUGACACAAGAGGCCGACCACCCCUCGUGCAUGGAUAUUCCCUUAUGCUGCCCCAACGUGGUUAACGAGACUCUGUGCUGCCACGAGGGUGGAGAGCCAUGUCAGUGCAUCUCCUGUGACGUGCCAAUCAAGGAGGCGAUGCUCAGAGGGGUUACUGUCGUCGGCGGCAUUGGACUGUUCUUCUCCUUCACUGAGUUCCUUGGCGUUUGGCUCACGGUGCGCUACAGGAACCAGCGGGACCCCCGGGCUAACCCUUCUGCCUUCCUGUAGUGAGGUGGCAUGGUGGCCCUCAAACCCUCACUGCUACUCUUAACUAACAUAUCAGGUCAUCGGCUUCUUCAUCGCUAAGCGUUUCCGGCACCAGGUGGACCCACGAGCAAACAUUCAGAGUUUGCUUAGAUAAUGGGCAGCAGCAGAAGAAGCAACAACAGCAAGCCUAUUCCUGCCCACCAACUCCCAUCUCUGCCUACCUUCCCUCUUUGCUUCCUGCUUUCCAUAAACCCCAUUCCAGCCCUGCUCCCUCCUUCCCUCCCUCCUCACCUUGUUACCGCCAAGCCAGAUAGCUAAUGUUUCAGGUCACUGGGAAGGUCUUUGCUGCCAACCCCUUGUCUAGUGCCACUAACUCCCAUGCCAACUCAUUCUAUUGCUCUUUCUCUCUCUUGGCAUCAGAAGUUUUUUAUAUCAUUUUGUAUUAGCUAUGAGUAUUAUAUUUUUUGGUCAAUUCCUCCAGCGUGCAAUAUUAUUUAGCGAGGUACAAUUAUUAUCGCCCUUCCAUAGAUUUUAGAUUUAAACGCCAUAUCAGAGUUAAGUCCUAUAUCUCCUGUACACUUUUUCACAUGUAUGUAUGUUUGAUUUCAAUAUCAGAUGGGGAACAACUUAAUAUUCAGAUACCUCAAGACAGUGCAACAAUAUCUACUGGACUCCUUCAAAGAUUUUACCGCCAUCGUAAAGUGAAAAUACUCCAUUGUGACACUAAAGCAUCUCGCAGCACCUGGGGUCAGCACAGCGCCCUAUGUGUCCACAGUGCUGAGGGUAGGCUGUGUGCUGAGAAGUGCUGCAUCUGGCUUGUACCUCAUCAUAUGUCACUGAAAAUAGUCUCAUGGCUCAGUGGAUUUGGUAAUGCUGAGUUCUCCAUUACUUUUGUUCUCCUUAUUACUUGGUUGUCUCCCUCACAUUUAGGUUCUGUAUAUUUAGUUGCCUCCGAUUACAUGCUUUGCUUUCCCUUUACGUUGAUAUUUCCCAGCCGUUGUGUUGGGUAGUGUGUUAUGUAUUGCUUUAUCUCUUUAUUUGUAUAGCACUUUAUUAUGAGUUGUUACCUGUGUUCUCUAGCACUCUGUACUAAUAUAAAAUUUCCCUCCCUUUUUGAUGUUCAGAUAUUGCAAUUUAGGAAACUUUCUAAAGAGGUAAAGGAAGAGUAUAACAAUAAUUUACCAGUGAAUUAUGUACAUAGCUUUGAAAGUGUAGCUACAGAGUGGUGUAAUUUAAACUGUUCAUUAGAGUUUAGUGGAAAAAAAUAACCCCUAUGCCACCAAGAGAUUUACUAAUGAGCUGUAUCAUUGCUGAUUUGAUUGUGUAAGUGUAAGGUGUCAUUUUAUUCCUUACUCAUCAUCAGCAUCCUUACUAAGAGGCAGAUCUAUCUAAGGAGAGGUAAUACAAUACAGAAUUACUGAUUAGUUUGAUCUUCUUUGAUUUGACAUAACUUGUGUAGCUUUAGCCACAAGCAACUAGGAGAUUUGCUGAAGAUAUGCUUCUGCUCAGUUCUCUGUACUGUGUUACUUAGGUAAUGACUAGUCUGAGUAGGAAAAAGAAACAUAGUGUUAGACUACCUUUAUGGAUCAAAGUAAAUGUGCCUAAAUGAAAUGGGAACUUGGUUAUGUCUCAGUAUACAUGUGACAAAUAUAUAUUGUUUAUAUCAAGUAGGUGAUUAAAAUUUAGCUUGUCAUUAAGUGACCUUGACAGUAUUGAGGAAGAGUUUAUUUUCUCUUUAGUGUGAAGUUGAACGCUUUUCCUUUGGCAAGAGCCAAGAAACAAAGCUACAUGGAAGUGGCCACAGAGAUGGCUGGAAUGAGGAGUCCUAGAAGUCAGCGCUGGCAGCCAAGGCAGCGGCCCUGGCCUCAGAAGCCAGGGCUGACAGCUAAGAAAGACAUUUAGCAAUUCCUUCCUCAUUGGAAGAAGAAAAUAUUGUGAGAGCAUCGGACUUGCUUUUGUGUGGUGGUUUUAGAUAUUUGGAAUUUAAUUGCCUGGUUUACCUUUGUAUGCAUUAUCUCAGGCAAUAUGUUGUUCUGUGCUGUUGGACAGACCGAAGUAGUUUUAGUAAUUGGUGUUUGAUGAAAUUGUCAAUCUUGCAUUCCAUGAGACACAUCUCAGUAGUGAUUUGGCUGAGCUGUGGUGAGCCAUUGGUGUGCUACAAGGGAGGUGAGAUGAGUUGUCUUGGCACCUGUUCACAUUGUAAAACAGACUGUUAAUAAUGGUUCAGCAGGUCUGCUUAGGUGAUCUAUCAAGUCCAGAAUUGAGUGCAGAAUAGAUCAGCUAAGAAGUUUGCCCUUCAGAGGCUGUCACAUGUGGGAUGGUGGGGAAGCUCCUCACUCCUCAAGGACAGAUUACACUACUGUGUCUUGCAUCAGGGGUUCAGUUUUGCUGUUAUGAGAUUUUUUGGCCUUUCACUCACCACAUGUUCUGCCUCGCUGUUCUGUUCGGGCUGAUGUCUCGGCAGCAGCACUGUUACUCUUGCUGAGCCAUUCCUGUUUCCUCAUGCUUUUUAUGUCUUUGCUUGAUCUAAUAGUCAUGGCUAAGAGUUAGAAAGUACUCAGCAUACUCAAUACAGUCCCUAAAUAUCUUACUUCUCUGAUGAAAUAGUGGACUUCUCAAGAUACUCUUUUUUUUCCCAUAGAAGCAAGAUUGUUUAUUGAAAGUAGGUACACCACACUUUAAUUUCAUACACAUAUGUAAAAUCGUAUUAGGAAUUUUUUAACUAUUCUCAAUGGAGGAGCAAUGGACUUGUACCUUGGGCCGCAAGAGUAACAACAUUCUGCCGUUGAUUUAUAACUGUGCCGGUGACGGACUUGAGUGUUGGUUGGUCAGCAAGAGUAGGUGGUGUUUGCUCUCAGUGAUUCCUUUAGUUCCUGUUUGUGAUACAUAAGACAUUCCAGCCAUUUUGUUAUGCCAGUAGUCUUUUCUUGUGUACAGUUAUGUUUUGUAAUCCUUAAGAUGGUAACAACAACAAUAAUGAUGAUAAUAAUGAUAAUAGCCAGCAGUAGAUUAGCUCUGAAAGUGUACUGUGUUUUGGGGUGAUAUGUUGUUUAUAUAAAAGAGUAUUUAAAAAAAGAUCAUAAAUAAUGCUUCCUGUAGUUUGAUAUGAGUGUAGGAUAUACAUGUUGACUGUUGUUUAUUCAUUUGUUUGUUGGUUGGCCUACAUUUGCAGUGGUGCUUACAUCGGCAUUUUAUUUAUUCAUCUUUGGUUUCAGUUUUCUCUGCAUCACUUAAGUGGGUUUGGAUUUGGUUGUGUGUGUGUGUGUGUGUGUGUUUUCCUGUUGAGUUGGAAUGGCUUGUCCAGUGUUAUGAGUUUUGAUUCCUUCAUCACCCGGGGAACUAAUGGUGGCACUUUUUCCACACUGUUUAUGAUCACUGGGGCUCGGCGGCUCGUCCAGAACUGCUUGUUGUGCGCUUGUCUUCUUUCACAUGACGCUGCGAGGCUUAGGAUGACUGCAUGACACUUUGAUAGGGUGGGGUGAGGGUUGUGUCUGUUAGAGGUGUAAGGAAUUCCUCAAGUUGUCUUUUUUUCUACCAUUUUUCCCAGUUUGAGGAUUUGUUGGACUGAUUUGAGGCAUUUAGAGAAGAAGGGGCAUAAGGAACAGGGCCAAGUUUUCUAGUUUGAUGUUCUAUAGGACUGAUUUUGGGCAUCCACAGAAGAAGGGGCGUAAGGAACAGGGCCAAGUUUUCUAGUUUGAUGUUCUAUAGGACUGAUUUUGGGCAUCCACAGAAGAAGGGGCAUAAAGAACAGGGCCAAGUUUUCUAGUUUGAUGUUCUAUAGGACUGAUUUUGGGCAUCCACAGAAGAAGGGGCGUAAGGAACAGUAGUUUUUUCAAAUUUCAAAAUCUAUACGGCUGAUUUGAAGUGUCCACAGAAGAAGGCAUGUAAGAAACAGAGCCAUUUCUUCUAGUUUGAGGAUCUUUAGGGUUGAUUUGAAGUGUCUGAAGAAGAAGGCAUGUAAGGGACAGGGCCAAGUUUUGUAGUUUGCCCUAGGAAAGCCAGACUACAUAUCCCAAAAAGAACAAAAUCAAGUUGCAAGUGAUAAGCAACCUUCAGUACAUCAAAUACAAGGUCACUUUUCCCUUGCAACCCAUUCCUUGUUCUUCCUGUGGUGUGUAGCCUGACUUUCCCAGUAUUACCUGGAAAAAAAUAGCUCUCUCUUAUGCCCCUUUCUCCAGAUGCCUCGUUUGUUGUCCUCUUUUUCUGCCUUCCCUUUACCCUUCACAUAAUUUAAACAUAAGCGAUUUCUUCUACUGUUUUAACCUCUCCUUCCUCAUUCUCUUUAGCCUCUUUCCCCUUCGUCCCCUUCCAUUCACCCUUCACACAAUUCAAACAUAAGCAAGUCCUUCUACUGUUUCAACCUC